CCAUCUUUCCAUUGCCUGCCGCGUCAGUGUGUAUGCGUUCCGUUCCGCCUCACCGUCGCCAGUAACCUGUAGUCCGCCGUGCGCAAGAGCAGAUGUUAGAACACACAUACGACAGGCUUGGGCGGAAGACUGAUCGUUGUCUCCUUCAAGAUCAGCCAUGCGCUGCGCCGACACGACGUUUCCCAGCCGGCUUGCCACGCCUCCAAAACAGGUUCAGCCGUUCAAACACAAUGUUGCUACGAGUAAGCUACACCACGGAUUAAUUAGCGCAUCUUGCUAGCUUCCUACAGGAGUACCAGAUCAAUAAGGUGAUGAAACCGUCUUCCAAAGGUAGAGUCGGAACACGGCGCGGUGCAUCAGGGACUCGAGCUUGGUGGGGCAGGUUGAAUGCCAUCGGGAUCAAGAUCUAGGGUGACACAAGGUGCAGGCCACUGCUGUCCUCAGUCAAGGAUAGAGCGUUGUCCAUGCCGACGAUCCCGAACUAGGCAGCGUGAGGUCUAGGCCGAUGGAUUUUUCAGCAAGACGACGCACAAUGGGGAACUUAAAGAAGGGGAGGGAAGGCCGGCAUUGUGUCGCCGUUGAGCAGGAAAAUGGUCAAAGCCAUAGCAGCAAUGCCUCAGAGCUAAGGUCUUAUGAGAAUCAAACACAAAAUCCGUAGCAAUCGCACAAGCAAUUUUCCUAUAUGUAAUAUGUUAUGCUACUAGAUGCAACAACAAAAUUUGGGUGAUUGCGCUCAUAGUUACCGAAAAUAUACAACAAGUAA
Molecule: long non-coding RNA, 763 nt
Organism: Lolium rigidum
Lineage: Eukaryota; Viridiplantae; Streptophyta; Magnoliopsida; Poales; Poaceae
Exons: 3
Source: RefSeq, a predicted model, not a curated record